GGGAAUGGUCGGGAUAGCUCAGUUGGUA
This 28-nucleotide transfer RNA is filed under the name Persicaria glabra. RNAcentral describes it as "partial tRNA-Phe". Lineage: Eukaryota; Viridiplantae; Streptophyta; Magnoliopsida; Caryophyllales; Polygonaceae. The record is from RNAcentral.